Molecule: ribosomal RNA, 2787 nt
Filed under: Escherichia coli
Lineage: Bacteria; Pseudomonadati; Pseudomonadota; Gammaproteobacteria; Enterobacterales; Enterobacteriaceae
Description: bacterial LSU rRNA
Rfam family: Bacterial large subunit ribosomal RNA
Source: RNAcentral
AGCGUACACGGUGGAUGCCCUGGCAGUCAGAGGCGAUGAAGGACGUGCUAAUCUGCGAUAAGCGUCGGUAAGGUGAUAUGAACCGUUAUAACCGGCGAUUUCCGAAUGGGGAAACCCAGUGUGUUUCGACACACUAUCAUUAACUGAAUCCAUAGGUUAAUGAGGCGAACCGGGGGAACUGAAACAUCUAAGUACCCCGAGGAAAAGAAAUCAACCGAGAUUCCCCCAGUAGCGGCGAGCGAACGGGGAGCAGCCCAGAGCCUGAAUCAGUGUGUGUGUUAGUGGAAGCGUCUGGAAAGGCGCGCGAUACAGGGUGACAGCCCCGUACACAAAAAUGCACAUGCUGUGAGCUCGAUGAGUAGGGCGGGACACGUGGUAUCCUGUCUGAAUAUGGGGGGACCAUCCUCCAAGGCUAAAUACUCCUGACUGACCGAUAGUGAACCAGUACCGUGAGGGAAAGGCGAAAAGAACCCCGGCGAGGGGAGUGAAAAAGAACCUGAAACCGUGUACGUACAAGCAGUGGGAGCACGCUUAGGCGUGUGACUGCGUACCUUUUGUAUAAUGGGUCAGCGACUUAUAUUCUGUAGCAAGGUUAACCGAAUAGGGGAGCCGAAGGGAAACCGAGUCUUAACUGGGCGUUAAGUUGCAGGGUAUAGACCCGAAACCCGGUGAUCUAGCCAUGGGCAGGUUGAAGGUUGGGUAACACUAACUGGAGGACCGAACCGACUAAUGUUGAAAAAUUAGCGGAUGACUUGUGGCUGGGGGUGAAAGGCCAAUCAAACCGGGAGAUAGCUGGUUCUCCCCGAAAGCUAUUUAGGUAGCGCCUCGUGAAUUCAUCUCCGGGGGUAGAGCACUGUUUCGGCAAGGGGGUCAUCCCGACUUACCAACCCGAUGCAAACUGCGAAUACCGGAGAAUGUUAUCACGGGAGACACACGGCGGGUGCUAACGUCCGUCGUGAAGAGGGAAACAACCCAGACCGCCAGCUAAGGUCCCAAAGUCAUGGUUAAGUGGGAAACGAUGUGGGAAGGCCCAGACAGCCAGGAUGUUGGCUUAGAAGCAGCCAUCAUUUAAAGAAAGCGUAAUAGCUCACUGGUCGAGUCGGCCUGCGCGGAAGAUGUAACGGGGCUAAACCAUGCACCGAAGCUGCGGCAGCGACGCUGAUGCGUUGUUGGGUAGGGGAGCGUUCUGUAAGCCUGCGAAGGUGUGCUGUGAGGCAUGCUGGAGGUAUCAGAAGUGCGAAUGCUGACAUAAGUAACGAUAAAGCGGGUGAAAAGCCCGCUCGCCGGAAGACCAAGGGUUCCUGUCCAACGUUAAUCGGGGCAGGGUGAGUCGACCCCUAAGGCGAGGCCGAAAGGCGUAGUCGAUGGGAAACAGGUUAAUAUUCCUGUACUUGGUGUUACUGCGAAGGGGGGACGGAGAAGGCUAUGUUGGCCGGGCGACGGUUGUCCCGGUUUAAGCGUGUAGGCUGGUUUUCCAGGCAAAUCCGGAAAAUCAAGGCUGAGGCGUGAUGACGAGGCACUACGGUGCUGAAGCAACAAAUGCCCUGCUUCCAGGAAAAGCCUCUAAGCAUCAGGUAACAUCAAAUCGUACCCCAAACCGACACAGGUGGUCAGGUAGAGAAUACCAAGGCGCUUGAGAGAACUCGGGUGAAGGAACUAGGCAAAAUGGUGCCGUAACUUCGGGAGAAGGCACGCUGAUAUGUAGGUGAGGUCCCUCGCGGAUGGAGCUGAAAUCAGUCGAAGAUACCAGCUGGCUGCAACUGUUUAUUAAAAACACAGCACUGUGCAAACACGAAAGUGGACGUAUACGGUGUGACGCCUGCCCGGUGCCGGAAGGUUAAUUGAUGGGGUUAGCGCAAGCGAAGCUCUUGAUCGAAGCCCCGGUAAACGGCGGCCGUAACUAUAACGGUCCUAAGGUAGCGAAAUUCCUUGUCGGGUAAGUUCCGACCUGCACGAAUGGCGUAAUGAUGGCCAGGCUGUCUCCACCCGAGACUCAGUGAAAUUGAACUCGCUGUGAAGAUGCAGUGUACCCGCGGCAAGACGGAAAGACCCCGUGAACCUUUACUAUAGCUUGACACUGAACAUUGAGCCUUGAUGUGUAGGAUAGGUGGGAGGCUUUGAAGUGUGGACGCCAGUCUGCAUGGAGCCGACCUUGAAAUACCACCCUUUAAUGUUUGAUGUUCUAACGUUGACCCGUAAUCCGGGUUGCGGACAGUGUCUGGUGGGUAGUUUGACUGGGGCGGUCUCCUCCUAAAGAGUAACGGAGGAGCACGAAGGUUGGCUAAUCCUGGUCGGACAUCAGGAGGUUAGUGCAAUGGCAUAAGCCAGCUUGACUGCGAGCGUGACGGCGCGAGCAGGUGCGAAAGCAGGUCAUAGUGAUCCGGUGGUUCUGAAUGGAAGGGCCAUCGCUCAACGGAUAAAAGGUACUCCGGGGAUAACAGGCUGAUACCGCCCAAGAGUUCAUAUCGACGGCGGUGUUUGGCACCUCGAUGUCGGCUCAUCACAUCCUGGGGCUGAAGUAGGUCCCAAGGGUAUGGCUGUUCGCCAUUUAAAGUGGUACGCGAGCUGGGUUUAGAACGUCGUGAGACAGUUCGGUCCCUAUCUGCCGUGGGCGCUGGAGAACUGAGGGGGGCUGCUCCUAGUACGAGAGGACCGGAGUGGACGCAUCACUGGUGUUCGGGUUGUCAUGCCAAUGGCACUGCCCGGUAGCUAAAUGCGGAAGAGAUAAGUGCUGAAAGCAUCUAAGCACGAAACUUGCCCCGAGAUGAGUUCUCCCUGACUCCUUGA